GAAACAUAAUUGCAUCUUCAUCGAUGUCCAAACACAAUUUCAAGAUUGCAGUGAAAAGAAGAGAAGAUUUUGAAAAUGAAUGAUGCACGUGAGGUCGACCCACAUGCCUUGGCAACUGAAAACCGGAGAAUGGUAGCGAAACCUGAGCUUGUGACAGCCAAAAACUCGUUUCUGUGAUUUGUUAGGUAGGCUCGUUCGUAUAAAUGCUAUGGCAUUUUUAUUCUUUUAACCCUCACAUGGCCAUCCAAGCAUAUCAUGAUGCAUGACUUUGGUUCUCAAUGAAC
This 284-nucleotide long non-coding RNA is filed under the name Manihot esculenta (cassava). RNAcentral describes it as "long non-coding RNA (MESC_LNC010532)". The record is from RNAcentral. Lineage: Eukaryota; Viridiplantae; Streptophyta; Magnoliopsida; Malpighiales; Euphorbiaceae.